RNAcentral lists this small nucleolar RNA (89 nucleotides) under Drosophila willistoni. Its description in RNAcentral is "snoRNA:GK26557". The record is from RNAcentral. Lineage: Eukaryota; Metazoa; Arthropoda; Insecta; Diptera; Drosophilidae.
UUCUAUGAUGAUAGAAUCAUGACGGUCUUCAUAAAACAAAUUGCUGAAGAAACUUGACUCUGUUUUUACGAAACGUAAAAAUACUGAUA